MicroRNA precursor from Oryza sativa Indica Group (long-grained rice), 207 nucleotides. It matches the Rfam family "MIR812 microRNA precursor family". The record is from Rfam. Lineage: Eukaryota; Viridiplantae; Streptophyta; Magnoliopsida; Poales; Poaceae.
CCUUCUCAUAUUCUCUCUUAUUCAUGUCUAACGUUUAAUCGUUCGUUUUAUUUAAAAAUUUUUUAUGAUUAAUAUUUUUAUUUUUACUAGAUGAUAAAACAUGAAUAGUACUUUACGUGUGACUAUUUUUUUUUAAUUUUUUCAUAAAUUUUUUAAAUAAGACGGACGGUCAAACGUUGGACACGGAUUCACACGGCUGCACUUAUU